UGCGUAGGUGGGCAGGUAAGUCAGUGGUGAAAUCCUGUAGCUUAACUACAGAACUGCCAUUGAUACUAUUUGUCUUGAAUACUCUGGAGGUGAGCGGAAUAUGUCAUGUAGCGGUGAAAUGCUUAGAUAUGACAUAGAACACCCAUUGCGAAGGCAGCUCACUACGGAAAUAUUGACGCUGAGGCACGAAAGCGUGGGGAGCAAACA
This 207-nucleotide ribosomal RNA is filed under the name uncultured bacterium. RNAcentral describes it as "partial 16S ribosomal RNA". It matches the Rfam family "Bacterial small subunit ribosomal RNA", at positions 568 to 774 of the family's 1533-position model. The record is from RNAcentral.